GGCCUGGCUGGGCGGUCCGCUUCACAGCGUGUACUGUCUGGCUGGGUCUUACUUCUUGGUGAGCUGGCGUGCCCUUUAUUGGUGUGCGUUGGGGAACCAGGACUUUUACCUUGAGAAAAUUAGAGUGUUCAAAGCAGGCUAUUGCCUGAAUACAUUAGCAUGGAAUAAUAAAAUAGGACGUGCGGUUCUAUUUUGUUGGUUUCUAGAGUCGCCGUA
RNAcentral lists this ribosomal RNA (216 nucleotides) under uncultured fungus. RNAcentral's name for it is "partial small subunit ribosomal RNA". The stretch from base 89 to 216 matches the Rfam family "Eukaryotic small subunit ribosomal RNA", at positions 735 to 864 of the family's 1831-position model. The record is from RNAcentral. Lineage: Eukaryota; Fungi.